Molecule: ribosomal RNA, 484 nt
Filed under: uncultured bacterium
Lineage: Bacteria
Description: bacterial SSU rRNA
Rfam family: Bacterial small subunit ribosomal RNA
Source: RNAcentral
GAUGAACGUUGGCGGUGUGCCUAAUACAUGCAAGUCGAACGGAGACUGUAGCAAUACUGUCUUAGUGGCGAACGGGUGAGUAACGCGUUGGUGAUCUGCCUCGAAGUGUGGAAUAACCUCCCGAAAGGGAAGCUAAUACCGCAUAGUCUCUCAAGGUUUAGAAAAUUGAGAGUAAAGGAUUUAUUCGCUUCGAGAGGAGCCUGCGUCCCAUCAGCUAGUUGGUAGGGUAACGGCCUACCAAGGCAAUGACGGGUAGGGGACCUGAGAGGGUGGCCCCCCACAAUGGAACUGAAACACGGUCCAUACACCUACGGGUGGCAGCAGUAGGGAAUAUUAGAAAUGGGCGGAAGCCUGAUCUAGCAACACCGCGUGUGCGAUGAAGGCCUUGGGUCGUAAAGCACUUUUUGGAGGGAAUAGGAAGGAUGUACUUCCAGAAUAAGUCUCGGCUAACUACGUGCCAGCAGCCGCGGUAAGCAUACUCGUA